RNAcentral lists this unclassified non-coding RNA (257 nucleotides) under Schizothecium formosanum. Its description in RNAcentral is "partial internal transcribed spacer region". The stretch from base 1 to 46 matches the Rfam family "Eukaryotic small subunit ribosomal RNA", at positions 1786 to 1831 of the family's 1831-position model. The record is from RNAcentral. Lineage: Eukaryota; Fungi; Ascomycota; Sordariomycetes; Sordariales; Schizotheciaceae.
AAGUCGUAACAAGGUCUCCGUUGGUGAACCAGCGGAGGGAUCAUUACAGAGUUGCAAAACUCCCAACCAUUGUGAACCUACCUCACCGUUGCUUCGGCGGGUGGCCCCUCCCCCUCACCCGGGUUGGGACCACGCUGGCCCCCGGCUCCCGGGCGCUGGCAAUCCCGUCAAAGGACCUGAACCUUCUGUAAUUAUUGGCCUCUCUGAGUAACUGAUACAAUAAGUCAAAACUUUCAACAACGGAUCUCUUGGUUCUG